Nematostella vectensis (starlet sea anemone) is the source of this 1135-nucleotide long non-coding RNA. RefSeq lists it as uncharacterized. The transcript has 2 exons. The record is from RefSeq and is a predicted model, not a curated record. Lineage: Eukaryota; Metazoa; Cnidaria; Anthozoa; Actiniaria; Edwardsiidae.
GAAGGAACAGUGAUUGGGAAAACCAAUCAACCAAGAAGCUAUCAGUUAUCCACUCCCAAGCAUAAUAUCAGACGAAACCGGCGCAAGCUCAACAUGCUGCCAAAACCUGACCCCGAAACACCAACCGAGUCAUCACCAGAGAGCACUCCAGAGCCUGAGGCUAAAACGACAACACCGGAAGUGCAAGCACCAGUUCCAGUAAACACUACCCAUAGUGGCCGGGUGGUUAAAACACCGGCUAGGUUGAAAGACUGAAUAUAAACACUGCAGUUCUGUUUGAUUGUUAUGAGGCAAUGUAUUUGAUAACAUUAAGCCUAAGUUACCAGUGUUAGUUAAAUUUUACAUUGACAUUGUCAAGGACAUUCUGUCUUACAUUAGAUAGACACUCAGAAAGGGAGAUGUAGUAUUGGGCUCCCUGUGUUAUUUCGUUAUAAGUAUUGCUUGGUUACCCAGCACCUGUGUUCGGUUCAAUAUGGCUUCGGUCUAUUAAAAAGUUCAGAGUUCUUAGAAAAAUCGUCUUGUUUCUCGGCAAUCCUAUACCGACAAACACUACAUGUUCGUGGAAGUUUGUUGAUCGAAGUGUUGCAAUUCCGUCGUUGCAUUUGCUAGCCAAGGUAAAACAAUAGUUUGAAAAAAUGUUUGCACAAGUGUAUUGGGUGGACGAAGCCUGUGAUUCAGUGUUGUCCAGAUGGAAGACAUAUGAGUCAAAGAAGCGGGGGAAGGGGUAGAAGUUGGCAUAGUUUGGCCGUGAGAAGGGCCGCGGAUUUGUAGAGUGGAAUACAAUGCUGAAAUAAAAAGUUUAUCAGCGUACGCAAAACGAUGUUCAACGGUUUGGGGAGCCAAGGAGAUUGACUGGAGCAAAACAGUGUGAACAAGCGCAAUAUAACGCCAAGCGCUCAAUCGCAACCAAAGCGCGAAACGAUAAAAGCGCUCAAUCUAAGGACGUUAUAUACUCUGUAUAUAGAAGAAUUGAUCGGCAAAAAGUGACAUUUAAAACCCUGAAUUUUUAAUGUGUGGAUGUGUAGAACGGGUUUAAUUUUCCUAAUUUUCUCUCCCUGCUUUAAUCAGUACUUUAUGCAAUUAGGGUCAUGGAAUGCAUGGAUUGCGUUAAACUCGAAUAAAAAUUGUUUUUAUA